AGAGGUGGCAAGCGUUGUUCGGAAUUACUGGGCGUAAAGGGCGCGUAGGCGGUUCGAUAAGUCCCGUGUGAAAUCCCUCGGCUCAACUGAGGAACUGCACGGGAAACUGACGGGCUUGAGUUCGGGAGAGGGAAGCGGAAUUCCGGGUGUAGCGGUGAAAUGCGUAGAUAUCCGGAGGAACACCGGUGGCGAAGGCGGCUUCCUGGACCGACACUGACGCUGAGGCGCGAAAGCUAGGGGGGCAAACGGGAUUAGAUACCCCGGUAGUCCUAGCUGUAAACGAUGAGUGCUGGGUGUAGGGGGUAUCUACCCCCCCUGUGCCGAAGCUAACGCAUUAAGCACUCCGCCUGGGGAGUACGGUCGCAAGGCUG
This 371-nucleotide ribosomal RNA is filed under the name uncultured bacterium. Its description in RNAcentral is "bacterial SSU rRNA". It matches the Rfam family "Bacterial small subunit ribosomal RNA", at positions 527 to 896 of the family's 1533-position model. The record is from RNAcentral.